This is a non-coding RNA of Pongo abelii (Sumatran orangutan), 45 nucleotides long. The record is from Rfam. Lineage: Eukaryota; Metazoa; Chordata; Mammalia; Primates; Hominidae.
CCAAAGGCCCUUUUCAGGGCCGCUCACAAAAUCUUUAAAGAGCUG